Long non-coding RNA from Syngnathoides biaculeatus (alligator pipefish), 1317 nucleotides. RefSeq lists it as uncharacterized. The transcript is spliced from 8 exons. Lineage: Eukaryota; Metazoa; Chordata; Actinopteri; Syngnathiformes; Syngnathidae. The record is from RefSeq and is a predicted model, not a curated record.
ACAUAAAUACAUUUGUCUAUACUAGCUUCUGUUUACAUUUAUAUUUUUCAAGUGAAAAUCAUAAGUCAAUUCCGGAAAUUUCUCAGUUGUAAGUUUUGAUGUAAAAAUGUAACUAUUGUUGCGCAGUGGUGUAUAGAUGCGGCUAUCGUAAUUUUUCAUGUGUAAAAAGGCCAAUAUUUCUUAUUAAGUCGACUGAGGAUAUUAUACAUAGGUAUAAGGAAAAUGAAUUGAUUCAUUGGCUGGCGACCAGUUCAGGGUGUACCCUGCCUCUCACCCAAAGAUAGCUGGGAGGGGCUCCAAGCAAGCCCUAGUGAGGAUAAGUGGAUGAAUGAUGAUUCACUGAGACGCUGUGCAGAUUCGCAUGCAAACAAAUCAGCCUAAUAAAAUACACAAAUAUUUCAUGCUUUGAGCCUGGAGAGGAGUAAAUUGAUGUUGACAGACCUGAGGACAGCAUGAAGUGCUUCAUUGAAUUUGGUCCCUCGUUGCUUCUCACCACUGAUGGUCACCCACGACUGGUUCAGGAAGCUCCGCGCAAGAGAAGCUAAGUGGGCAAAACAAACAAACAUCAUGGCCGCCCACUAGAAAGUAGAGGAGGCAAUUGGUCAACAGCUGAGAGAGAGACAGAGCUGAGCUGAGAUUCGGAACGGUGCUGCGGAAGUUCAGCAGUCUUCUUACUCACUUUACAAGAAGCUCCAGGUUCAGCUCAUCUUCUCCAUCUUUCAGUCGUCCUGCAAAGACUUGCAAAGCUUUCUUCACAGCGAACCUUGAGGAAAGGUACUCUCUUGGCAGAAGAAGCAGUCAGACGAAACUCCACUUUGCGAAGCAUAUCUUCCAGCAGGAGCAGUGGUGCUGGGUAAAAUCACAUCUGUAGUCUCUCCAUCAAAGUUAGCAACAGGUGGAACAUAUCCAGGAGUUCCUGGAACAAAGACAGCAAUUUUAAAACUCUCUGAGACUGGUAAUGAGAGUUGAUACUGUGUACGUGAUACCCACCGGCCAAAGCCUUCUCCAACAGGGUCUGAAGUUACCUCUCUGAACCAGUUGAUGGUGUGAAAUAGCAGCGUGCAAAUGAACUCCCGCUCCACUUUGGACAGGCUGUCGAUUUUUUCAACAACAUCCAUGUCUGUUAGUAUGAGAGGGCAGCCUGAAAGCCCACAAAAAUUCACAAGCAUGGAUUCAAGAUUUUUAAGAGCCACACAAUGAUAAAGAAUAAGAACCGCAGCAGGCGGAAAAAUGGUGACAAACAGAGAGAACUCCUGAUGACAAAAGAACUGUUAAAUUCACCAGUUGGCAGUUAAAUGUGUAACCCAGAUAGAUGAA